Molecule: ribosomal RNA, 456 nt
Filed under: uncultured bacterium
Lineage: Bacteria
Description: partial 16S ribosomal RNA
Rfam family: Bacterial small subunit ribosomal RNA
Source: RNAcentral
CUACGGGAGGCUGCGGUCGAGAAUCUUCCACAAUGGGCGAAAGCCUGAUGGAGCGACGUCGCGUGCAGGAUGAAGGCCUUCGGGUCGUAAACUGCUUUUGUCGCCGAUGAACCCUAAGAGCAAUCGAGGGGUGACAGUAGGCGAAGAAUAAGGGGCUGCUAAUCACGUGCCAGCAGCAGCGGUUACCGUGAGCCCCGAGCGUUAUCCGAAAUUAUUGGGCGUAAAGCGCGUGUAGGCGGCUUUGUUAGUCCUCUGUUAAAUACCGGAGCUCAACUCCGGGACUGCGGAGGAAACGGCAAGGCUAGAGGGCGUGAGAGGCUGAUGGAACUCACGGUGUAGGAGUGAAAUCCGUUGAUAUCGUGGGGAACACCAAAGGCGAAGGCAUUCAGCUGGCGCGACCCUGACGCUAAGACGCGAAAGCGUGGGGAGUGAAGCGGAUUAGAUACCCUUGUAGUC